Molecule: ribosomal RNA, 497 nt
Filed under: uncultured bacterium
Lineage: Bacteria
Description: partial 16S ribosomal RNA
Rfam family: Bacterial small subunit ribosomal RNA
Source: RNAcentral
GAUGAACGCUGGCGGCGUGCCUAAUACAUGCAAGUCGAGCGGACGGACCAGAAGCUUGCUGCUCUGACGUUAGCGGCGGACGGGUGAAUAACACGUGGAUCACCUACCUAUAAGACUGGUAUAACUUCGGGACACCGGCGCUAACCCCGGAUAAUAUUUUGCACCGCAUGGUUCAAAGGUGAAAGACGGUCUUGCUGUCACUUCUCGCUGGUUCCGCGCUGCAUUGGCUAGUUGGUAAGGUCACGGCCUACCAAGGCAACUAUGCAUAGCCGACCUGAUAGGGUGGUAGACCACACUGGAGGUGGGCCACGGUCCAGACGCCUACGGUAGGGAGCAGUAGCGAAUCUUCCGCAAUGGUCGAAAACAUUGCGGAGCAGGGCCGCGUGAGUUAUGACGGUCUUCGGAUCGUAAAACUCUGUUAUUAGGUAAGAACAGAUGUGUAAUUAACUGUGCAGAGCUUGACGGUACCUAGUCAAAAAGCCCCGGCUAACUACGUG